Molecule: unclassified non-coding RNA, 362 nt
Filed under: uncultured bacterium
Lineage: Bacteria
Description: contains 16S-23S intergenic spacer region
Source: RNAcentral
UCCCCGUUACCGGGGCAGUCUGAAUAGAAAAAUCCAACUAUUCACAAGGGUUGCGCUCGUUGAUGGACUUAACCAAACAUCUCACGACACGAGCUGACGACGGCCAUGCAGCACCUGUCACCUUGCUCAAUAAAGCACUCUCUGCUUUCACAGAAAUUCAAGGGAUGUCAAACCCUGGUAAGGUUUUCGCUUAUCAUCGAAUUAAAGAACAUGCUCCACCACUUGUGCGGAGCCCCGUCAAUUCCUUUAUGUUUUAGUCUUGCGACCGUACUCCACAGGCGGGAUGCUUAACGCGUUAGCUUCGCUACUGAAGGGGUCGAUACCUCCAACAGCUAGCAUCCAUAGUUUACGGCGUGGACUAC